AUUGAACGCUGGCGGAAUGCUUUACACAUGCAAGUCGAGCGAAGCGAUUUUAAGGAAGCUUUCGGGUGGAAUUAAAAUUGACUGAGCGGCGGACGGGUGAGUAACGCGUGGGUAACCUGCCUCAUACAGGGGGAUAACAGUUAGAACUGACUGCUAAUACCGCAUAAGCGCACAGUGCUGCAUAGCACAGUGUGAAAAACUCCGGUGGUAUGAGAUGGACCCGCCUCUGAUGAGGUAGUUGGUAGGGUAACGGCCUACCAAGCCGACGAUCAGUAGCCGACCUGAGAGGGUGACCGGCCACAUUGGGACUGAGACACGGCCCAAACUCCUACGGGAGGCAGCAGUGGGGAAUAUUGGACAAUGGGGGAAACCCUGAUCCAGCGACGCCGCGUGAGUGAAGAAGUAUUUCGGUAUGUAAAGCUCUAUCAGCAGGGAAGAAAAUGACGGUACCUGACUAAGAAGCCCCGGCUAACUACGUGCCAGCCGCCGCCGUAA
This 495-nucleotide ribosomal RNA is filed under the name uncultured bacterium. RNAcentral describes it as "partial 16S ribosomal RNA". It matches the Rfam family "Bacterial small subunit ribosomal RNA", at positions 30 to 523 of the family's 1533-position model. The record is from RNAcentral.